RNAcentral lists this ribosomal RNA (253 nucleotides) under uncultured bacterium. RNAcentral's name for it is "partial 16S ribosomal RNA". It matches the Rfam family "Bacterial small subunit ribosomal RNA", at positions 524 to 776 of the family's 1533-position model. The record is from RNAcentral.
GACGGAGGAUGCAAGUGUUAUCCGGAAUCACUGGGCGUAAAGCGUCUGUAGGUGGUUUAAUAAGUCAACUGUUAAAUCUUGAGGCUCAACCUCAAAAUCGCAGUCGAAACUAUUAGGCUAGAGUAUAGUAGGGGUAAAGGGAAUUUCCAGUGGAGCGGUGAAAUGCGUAGAGAUUGGAAAGAACACCGAUGGCGAAGGCAAUCCCCUGGACCUGUACUGACGCUCAUGCACGAAAGCGUGGGGAGCAAACAGG